GGUUUGUGGUAAAGAAAGGAAGGGAAGGGAAGCGAAGGGGCCGCGCAGAGGUGUGGUGUGAGGUCCGACGUUAACGAAACGUCGAGGGUACCUCGAGCGCCAGUCUCGUCGCCGCCGAAGGACGAGGAGGAGGAGCAGCGAGGUAGGGGGUGCGGAGGGGACGGCGGAACCGGCGUCGGGCCCGGACGGCGACGGCCGAGCGGCCCACCGACAGCGGCGGCGCCCCCGGUAGCGGGAGCUGGGCGAAGUCCUGUAUUUUUUACUCGUCUUUCGACUCCACAAACGUACGGGACAAACAAUACUUGGCGACUAUUCCUUUCCCGGUGGUCCGUACUUGGACGGUCGCUAAAUAUCCAGGCCUAAGUUCACAAGUUUUACGUUGUUCAGUAAGUGGUCGUUUCUACAGAAGAACCUAGAGUGACAGUGGAGUCCUUACUUUCUUAUGUCACUUGAGUUCGGACGAUCUUGGCUCGACAAGUCCUCGGGCGAGCAGAGGAAAGAAAUACUCUCCCCCACCGCAGUCUUGAAGUUAGCGUCACCGAAGGGACCGGCGCUACUUCUCAAGGUUUACCGAGUUCUGAUAAAGGUUAGUCAGCGACCACCAUAUGAGCAACUACAGUCGACGCCGUCACCGAACAAAAGUUCCUUCAAACGUUCGAGACCCCGUAUGAGUAGACACUAACGAAACCUGAAAAGCCUCUUAUACGAGGCUGUUACGAUACUGAUGUAGUUUGUUCUUCUUUGGGGAUACUUGUGCUUGGAACGUGAACAUUCCCGACUAUAAAGCUCCGAGGGAAAACGAAGUUCAAGUUAACUACGGUAAGUACGACCUCGGCGAUAGGUGACAACCGGUAGGGGAAGUUUACGCUAUCGACUUUAGUCGGCACACGACUUCGGGCCGCCACAGAAACACCGCUGUUGGAAGAAUAGGUGGGGGUGCUUGUCGCCGGGCGAGAGAUAACUGCGUGAUUCCGGUGACUCCGUCUAACAACCCGGUCACUUGUCGUCGAUGUUGAAGAAGUGCCUUCCUCUCGACCUUCUGGACACGUCUAGGACACCGGACUAGUUGAUGUCGUCGUUCCACGUCUCCAGUAAGUAGUACAAGAGGCCCGUUUUCGGUAUCGACUCAUGGUAUAGGUCUGAAAGAGACAUAUCGGUCGGUGUCACAUAUAUAUCGACACGAAAAGAAAAAUGCCCAUAUACAUAUCGACAAUACCAAUUUAGUCCACCACUCUUACAUUGAAUUUGGUGUAAUCCGUUAACUUGGUUUUACGUACCAGAGACUGAGACUACUUGUUAUCAUCGUAAAGAAGUCCAAGUCCGUAGCUCGUUUUCAAAAUGUGGACUUGUUAACACAACAAAGACGUGGUAUUUAUUUGAAAUUCCCAUGUCUGACUUAAGGAAAGAUCUCUUCUAGUUCUCCCUGCAUAGGACCGAGGUUAAAAAUGUCUUACCUACUUUGGGUUCUCUCAUAGCCACGUUUGUUAGUCUGGUCGACUCACUCACUGUCCUAUAGCAGUAGUUGGUUUUAAUAAGGGUCCUAGGUGUUGUUUGGUGUCGUAUGUCGUCGUUCUUUCUUUGAUAGGAUAGAUCAUGAGUCGGACGACCGACCAGAGUUCCAUGUUCGUCGGUAAGGCCGUGGAGUGCUGGCGAGUUCCAUGUUCGUCUCACCACUUCUUUGGACGACGAACCUCCGUCGCCGUGGUUCGAAAUCCAGCUCCGCACAGUGUCCACGAGCUAAGCUCGGUAGUUGACGUAAUAAGGAGCUCGCCUAACUCACUAUGAUGAAUUAUUUCGUCACACACAUUUACACGUAUAGGUAAGUGGUAAGUAUAGUAUUCUGGUAUUCGAAGGUCGUUUUACACGGUACCACAAUUUACUUUCCAGUUCGAUUAAUGUCGUGACAUCGUUUUGGCCGUUCGGUUGUCCAGCCUCCUCGCUCGCGAUAAGGGUAAGUGCCCCGUCAAUCCGUCUUCUAUCUUCGACGAGGUAGGUUUACCAAGUUAGAUGAGAUGAGAGCUGCGUGAAUUAUACUGGCGGAUACGAAGCGUCAAGACCUUUUUAAUGUCUUGAGAACAACGCCCCAGUGACGAUGU
Molecule: ribosomal RNA, 2096 nt
Filed under: Triticum aestivum (bread wheat)
Lineage: Eukaryota; Viridiplantae; Streptophyta; Magnoliopsida; Poales; Poaceae
Description: partial small subunit ribosomal RNA
Source: RNAcentral